GGCCUGGCUGGCCGGUCCGCCUCACCGCGUGUACUGGUCUGGCCGGGCCUUUCCUUCUGGAGAACCUCAUGCCCUUCAUUGGGUGUGUUGGGGAACCAGGACUUUUACUUUGAAAAAAUUAGAGUGUUCAAAGCAGGCCUAUGCCCGAAUACAUUAGCAUGGAAUAACGAAAUAGGACGU
RNAcentral lists this ribosomal RNA (180 nucleotides) under uncultured Glomeromycotina. RNAcentral's name for it is "partial small subunit ribosomal RNA". The record is from RNAcentral. Lineage: Eukaryota; Fungi; Glomeromycota.